This 1806-nucleotide long non-coding RNA is filed under the name Gossypium barbadense (sea-island cotton). Its description in RNAcentral is "long non-coding RNA (GBAR_LNC010773)". Lineage: Eukaryota; Viridiplantae; Streptophyta; Magnoliopsida; Malvales; Malvaceae. The record is from RNAcentral.
AAAUUUAUAACAUAAAUCUAAUAAAAUACUUAAUCGAAAUUAAAGUAAAAUAAAAAGAAAAUUUACAAAAUAAGUAAAACUAUUAAAGGAGACACAUAUAUAACACACAUGAAUUUACAGGGAUCAAUAUUGAAAUAAUCCCUGAUCUUGAAACAUUGUGUUGAAAUAUGGACUAAAACAUAAAAGUAUUUCAAAUUUUAGGGAUAAUUUAAAAGAAAAUAAAGCAGAUUAAACGCAGAUGGGAGCAGAUUGCGCCGCGGUACAAGGAGGAGGGACCUUCCGCGCAAAUAUACCAUUCCAGGCGCAAAGGCACAAAUUCGGGGCUCUAGGCGGGUUAACGCGCGGACCCUCCCCCCUGUGCGGCGUCGUUUUAGGCCUGCUGCUAACCCCCUCUUUUUGAAUCAUUUUUUAACCUAAAACAUAAUUCCUUCCCCUUUUGAAAUGAAUCAUGCUAUCAGCCCAUUAUUUUAGGGUUUCCUUUAGCAUACCGCCUCCAACAAUAGAACUUCCAGAAUCCAGAAACCAGUUUGCGGCCUCAAGAUCAUUCCUCAUACUUCGAUCUCAGCGAAGCAAAGAAGAAUCCGUGGCGAAUUUGAAAAAGUAAGAUCCCCUUUUCGUUUCUUUUUUUUAUUUUGAAAUACAAUAUCGAAAGAUUGAGAAAAAAAUGAAAAGAUUCAACGAAAAAAACUAAAAGCCAGUAAAAAAAACUGAAAAUCACCUUUAUUAACUUGCUUUCGAAAUACCUUUUUUCAGAAUUUAGUGUGCAUAUGUAGAUGUAUAUUCUGUGUGCAUAAAAAUCUCUGGAGUACAAAAAUGAGGCUUUUUAUAGCCUGGAUUUACAGAAUAAAGUAAAAAAAUGAAAUUCUAUGUUCAUCGCUGUCAUCUUCUGUAAAUUCUGUUAUCUCUCUUCUCGUGUAUUCUUUGCGGGAACGGCCGUACGGAGGAGCCCCCCUGGUGACGUGGAGGCUGAGCGUGGAAAUUUCUCGUGAGAAGCUAACCUUUUGGUGUCCUUCUGGCUUACUCUAGAAGCUUCUAGCAUUCUCAGGAAAUUGAAAUAAUUCUAGGUGCAUUGGGCCUCGGGUUUUGGGGAUAUUUAGGCUAAUUUUUAUUGGGUUUUGGAAAUAUACAAUUUGGGCCAGACAUUAUGUAAUUGGGCUAAAAAGUUUUGGGGUAUUUGGUUAGAAAAUGGGUUUAUUAGAAUUGGGUUUUGGGCCAUGGGUUAUUUAGUAUUUUGUAAAUGGAUUUUUUUUGAACUAUUUAGUCUUGGACUUUUAUUCAUUUAUUUGGGUUUAUUUAUUUGCAAAUAAAUUAAAUGGGCCCGGACAAAAUUGGUUGACUACACCAUGUUUAUUAUUACGCAGAAUGCAAUUAUAUUGCAUAUAUUGAUUGUUUCCUUUCCGAGGUAAGACAAAUAGUAGUCGUUUAACUCACAAUAGAAAUGUGCGUGGUAAAAAAAUGGCACAUGUAUAAUUACUAAGUUUUAAACCAAAACAAAACCGAUGUUAUUCACUAUCCUAAACUUAUUACGAAGGUUUUGUUGUAUUUGGUACAAGUAUGAAACUAAACAUUUGUGCUUAGGUACUUGAGCCUCCGAAAAAGAUGCAUUUAGAUCCUCAAAGAAAAGAGAAUUUUGACGAUGGAAGUUUGGGAUUGGAGAUGGUUAGUAUCUAUGUAAUAAUUUAUUAUUUUAGUUCUCAAAGAUUAUUAAUAUACUAAUCAUAUCACAAUUUGACAAUGUGUAGAAUUGAAAUAAUAUAUUUAAAUUUCCAAAAUGAAAGCGGAGAAACAAUAAAUUAUCCUUAUCUC